AGUGAACGCUGGCGGCAGGCCUAACACAUGCAAGUCGAACGGCAGCACAGUAAGAGCUCGCUCUUACGGGUGGCGACGGGCGGGCGGGUGAGGAAUACAUCGGAAUCUACUUUUUCGUGGGUGAUAACGUGGGGACACUUACGCUAAUACCGCAUACGACCUACGGGUGAGAUCAGGGGAGCUUCGGACCUUGGCUGAUUCUAUGAGCCGAUGUCGGAUUAGCUAGUUGGGGGGGUAAAGGCCCACCAAGGCGACGAUCCGUAGCUGGUCUGAGAGGAUGAUCAGCCACACUGGAACUGAGACACGGUCCAGACUCCUACGGGAGGCAGCAGUGGGGAAUAUUGGACAAUGGGCGAAAGCCUGAUCCAGCCAUGCCGCGUGAGUGAAGAAGGCCUUCGGGUUGUAAAGCCCUUUUAUUGGGAAAGAAAAGCAGCAGGUUAAUACCUCGCUGUUCUGACGGUACCCAAAGAAUAAGCACCGGCUAACUUCGUG
Molecule: ribosomal RNA, 492 nt
Filed under: uncultured bacterium
Lineage: Bacteria
Description: partial 16S ribosomal RNA
Rfam family: Bacterial small subunit ribosomal RNA
Source: RNAcentral